Molecule: non-coding RNA, 286 nt
Organism: Pelobates cultripes (western spadefoot toad)
Lineage: Eukaryota; Metazoa; Chordata; Amphibia; Anura; Pelobatidae
Source: the annotation of a GenBank genome assembly
GGGGAUUCCACUAACUUGAAGGGAGAGCGAAAGAGGAGGAUCAGUAUAAGGAGGAGGAAAGACAAGGAGCUCCGUUUUAGAGACUGAGUUUCAGAAAGCGGGAGGACAUCCAGUCAGAGAUGGAAGAAAGGCAAGCAGUGACACGUUGCAGGACAGCAGGGGAGAGAUCCCGGGGAGGAGAGAUAUAUCUGGGUGUCAUCAGCGUACAGGUGGUAGUGGAAUCCAAAUGAGGUAAUAAGUUUGCCAAGAGAGGCAGUAUAAAGAGAAAUAGAAGGGGACCAAGGAC